This 495-nucleotide ribosomal RNA is filed under the name uncultured bacterium. Its description in RNAcentral is "partial 16S ribosomal RNA". It matches the Rfam family "Bacterial small subunit ribosomal RNA", at positions 28 to 507 of the family's 1533-position model. The record is from RNAcentral.
GACGAACGCUGGCGGCGUGCCUAAUACAUGCAAGUAGAACGCUGAAGGAGGAGCUUGCUCUUCUGGAUGAGUUGCGAACGGGUGAGUAACGCGUAGGUAACCUACCUGGUAGCGGGGGAUAACUAUUGGAAACGAUAGCUAAUACCGCAUAACAGUAGAUGUUGCAUGACAUUUACUUAAAAGGUGCAAUUGCAUCACUACCAGAUGGACCUGCGUUGUAUUAGCUAGUUGGUGGGGUAACGGCUCACCAAGGCGACGAUACAUAGCCGACCUGAGAGGGGGAUCGGCCACACUGGGACUGAGACACGGCCCAGACUCCUACGGGAGGCAGCAGUAGGGAAUCUUCGGCAAUGGACGGAAGUCUGACCGAGCAACGCCGCGUGAGUGAAGAAGGUUGUCGGAUCGUAAAGCUCUGUUGUAAGAGAAGAACGAGUGUGAGAGUGGAAAGUUCACACUGUGACGGUAGCUUACCAGAAAGGGACGGCUAACUACGUG